RNAcentral lists this ribosomal RNA (325 nucleotides) under Klebsiella pneumoniae. Its description in RNAcentral is "bacterial LSU rRNA". It matches the Rfam family "Bacterial large subunit ribosomal RNA", at positions 196 to 559 of the family's 2925-position model. Lineage: Bacteria; Pseudomonadati; Pseudomonadota; Gammaproteobacteria; Enterobacterales; Enterobacteriaceae. The record is from RNAcentral.
AAACAUCUAAGUACCCCGAGGAAAAGAAAUCAACCGAGAUUCCCCCAGUAGCGGCGAGCGAACGGGGAGCAGCCCAGAGUCUGAAUCAGCUUGUGUGUUAGUGGAACGGUCUGGAAAGUCCGACGGUACAGGGUGAUAGUCCCGUACACCAAAAUGCACAGGCUGUGAACUCGAAGAGUAGGGCGGGACACGUGGUAUCCUGUCUGAAUAUGGGGGGACCAUCCUCCAAGGCUAAAUACUCCUGACUGACCGAUAGUGAACCAGUACCGUGAGGGAAAGGCGAAAAGAACCCCGGCGAGGGGAGUGAAAAAGAACCUGAAACCGU